UAAUCCCGUACAUGGCUUGGAGCGCCCGAGGCUUUGUGAUACGCUUUCUAAGAGUCGAGUUGUUUGGGAAUGCAGCUCAAAAUGGGUGGUAAAUGCCAUCUAAGGCUAAAUAUUGGGGAGAGACCGAUAGCGAACAAGUACAGUGAUGGAAAGAUGAAAAGAACUUUGAAAAGAGAGUUAAACAGUACGUGAAAUUGCCAAAAGGGAAGGGUAGGAGGUCAGAGAUGCGGCCUGGGAUUCAGCCUUGCUUUUGCUUGGUGUUUUUCCCAGAUUGCAGGCCAACGUCGGUUUUGGGCACUGGAGAAGGGUAGGAGGAACGUGGCACCCCUCGGGGUGUGUUAUAGCCUCCUACUGGAUACAGCGACCGAGACCGAGGACAGCAGCGUACUCGCAAGAGCGG
This 400-nucleotide ribosomal RNA is filed under the name Moesziomyces antarcticus. RNAcentral's name for it is "partial large subunit ribosomal RNA". It matches the Rfam family "Eukaryotic large subunit ribosomal RNA", at positions 216 to 695 of the family's 3401-position model. Lineage: Eukaryota; Fungi; Basidiomycota; Ustilaginomycetes; Ustilaginales; Ustilaginaceae. The record is from RNAcentral.